This is a long non-coding RNA of Mizuhopecten yessoensis (Yesso scallop), 702 nucleotides long. RefSeq lists it as uncharacterized. The record is from RefSeq and is a predicted model, not a curated record. The transcript has 3 exons. Lineage: Eukaryota; Metazoa; Mollusca; Bivalvia; Pectinida; Pectinidae.
UGGAGAAGGUGUAGGUAUUGCUUUGGAGAAGGUGUAGGUAUUGCUAUUGAAGAAGGUGUAGGUAUUGCUAUCAGAGAAGGUGUAGAUAUUGCUAUCAGAGAAAGUGUAGGUAUUGCUAUCGGAGAAGGUGUAGGUAUUGCUAUCGGAGAAGGUGUAGAUAUUGCUAUCGGAGAAGUUGUAGAUAUUGCUAUUGGAGAAGGUGUAGGUAUUGCUAUCAGAGAAGGUGUAGGUAUUGCUAUCAGAGAAGGUGUAGGUAUUGCUAUCAGAGAAGGUGUAGGUAUUGAUAUUGGAGAAGGUGUAGAUAUUGCUAUCAGAGAAGGUGUAGAUAUUGCUAUCAGAGAAGGUGUAGGUAUUGAUAUCAGAGAAGGUGUAGGUAUAGGUAUUGCUAUCAGAGAAGGUGUAGGUAUUGCUAUCAGAGAAGGUGUAGGUAGGUGUAGGUAUUGCUAUCAGAGAAGGUGUAGGUAUUGCUAUCGGACAAGGUGUAGGUAUUGCUAUCGGAGAAGGUGUAGAUAUUGCUAUCGGAGAAGUUGUAGAUAUUGCUAUUGGAGAAGGUGUAGGUAUUGCUAUCUGAGAAGGUGUAGGUAUUGCUAUCUGAGAAGGUGUAGGUAUUGCUAUUGGAGAAGGUGUAGAUAUUGCUAUCAGAGAAGGUGUAGGUAUUGCUAUCAAAGGUGUAGACAUUUUUGAAGUUGAUGAUUUUUGGAG